AGAGUUUGAUCCUGGCUCAGAACGAACGCUGGCGGCAGGCCUAACACAUGCAAGUCGAGCGCAUCUUCGGAUGAGCGGCGGACGGGUGAGUAACGCGUGGGAACGUGCCCUUCCGUUCGGGAUAGCCCCGGGAAACUGGGAUUAAGACCGGAUACGCCCCUUGGGGGAAGGAAGGAUCGGCCCGCGUCUGAUUAGGUAGUUGGUGGGGUAACGGCCUACCAAGCCUACGAUCAGUAGCUGGUUUUAGAGGAUGAUCAGCCACACUGGGACUGAGACACGGCCCAGACUCCUACGGGAGGCAGCAGUGGGGAAUCUUAGACAAUGGGCGCAAGCCUGAUCUAGCCAUGCCGCGUGAGUGACGAAGGCCCUAGGGUCGUAAAGCUCUUUCGCCUGUGAAGAUAAUGACGGUAGCAGGUAAAGAAACCCCGGCUAACUCCGUGCCAGCAGCCGCGGUAAUACGGAGGGGGUUAGCGUUGUUCGGAAUUACUGGGCGUAAAGCGCGCGUAGGCGGAUCGGAAAGUUGGGGGUGAAAUCCCGGGGCUCAACCCCGGAACGGCCUCCAAAACUGUCGGUCUUGAGUUCGAGAGAGGUGAGUGGAAUUCCGAGUGUAGAGGUGAAAUUCGUAGAUAUUCGGAGGAACACCAGUGGCGAAGGCGGCUCACUGGCUCGAUACUGACGCUGAGGUGCGAAAGUGUGGGGAGCAAACAGGAUUA
Molecule: ribosomal RNA, 713 nt
Filed under: uncultured bacterium
Lineage: Bacteria
Description: bacterial SSU rRNA
Rfam family: Bacterial small subunit ribosomal RNA
Source: RNAcentral